ACUAGGAGUAGAAGCGGCCUGUAAUAGCAAGGAACUCAUGUUCCUAGGCUAUUGCUGGGCAUUGCUCCAAUA
Molecule: non-coding RNA, 72 nt
Filed under: Vibrio mytili
Lineage: Bacteria; Pseudomonadati; Pseudomonadota; Gammaproteobacteria; Vibrionales; Vibrionaceae
Description: Xanthine-I sequence
Rfam family: Xanthine riboswitch aptamer (NMT1 RNA)
About the family: Later it was reported as a ncRNA that recognised Xanthine.
Source: RNAcentral